This 301-nucleotide ribosomal RNA is filed under the name uncultured bacterium. RNAcentral describes it as "partial 16S ribosomal RNA". It matches the Rfam family "Bacterial small subunit ribosomal RNA", at positions 509 to 807 of the family's 1533-position model. The record is from RNAcentral.
CAGUCGCCACGGUAAUACGGAGGGUGCAAGCGUUAUCCGGAUUUAUUGGGUUUAAAGGGUCCGUAGGCGGACUUAUAAGUCAGUGGUGAAAGCCUGUCGCUUAACGAUAGAACUGCCAUUGAUACUGUAAGUCUUGAGUAUAUUUGAGGUAGCUGGAAUAAGUAGUGUAGCGGUGAAAUGCAUAGAUAUUACUUAGAACACCAAUUGCGAAGGCAGGUUACCAAGAUAUAACUGACGCUGAGGGACGAAAGCGUGGGUAGCGAACAGGAUUAGAGACCCCUGUAGUCCCUGUCUCUUAUAC